UAAAGCUGAUUAUAUAUCACGUGUUUGAUGAAUGACUGGGAUUCUCAACAGAACGCAAGAAAUGAAAGUGGAGGUAAUCAUCAUAUUUUGCCUGUUCACCAUUCUUGUGGUCGGAUUUGUAGAAGGGAGGAUUACUUGCGGCGCAUUUUCUUAUGAACACGACGGAUGCACCGACCCUUUCAACUUACCUUUCAAACGACGAUUUCAACAAGCAUGUGAUCAACAUGAUCUCUGCUAUACAUGUGCAUAUUCACUUGGAAUGUCAAGGUCAUGGUGCGAUGAAUUAUUUCUCAGAAAUAUGAAGGAUGACUGUCGUAAUUUUGCCUUGCGUGUAUUUAAAUUAACUAGAUUUUCUGUUUCACAGUUGAACCUCCCGAAUUGCACUGCAAACGCAAAUAAUUACUACAAUGGGGCGAGAUUAUUUGGUGCUUCGCAUUAUUCAACAAGUUCAAAGAGUUGGUGCUUAGGCCAGGGGGUUUCGACAUGUAUCCAUAGUAUCUAUGUGCGUACGAUGUAUAGGGGAUCCUGAAAUAUAUACCCAGACUGGGCCCAUAAAUAGCAAACUAAAUGGCUUCGACAAUCGAUGGAUGGAGAAAAGAACAAAAAACGAUGUUGAUUGUACGAACUCUCAAGUGCAUGUCGCAUGCUUCUUUUUGGACUACAUUUAUAUAUUAUUGCAUGUUUGUAUUCAUACGCCAAUAGACAUAAUUAACCAGUCACCCUUCACAGUUGAAGGGGGUUGUUUCUUAACAAUUUGUUUCUAAAAAUAGUCGGAAGUAUGAACCGUUCGAAUUGCAUAGCAAGCGCACAUGUGUAUUGUACUACGGCGUGGCUAGAGGGUUUGGUGCUUUGCGUUUUAUAACAAGUUCAAAUAAUUGGUGCUCAUCGCAGCAGGUUUUGGAAUGUAUGCAUGACUAAGGUCUAUCCAUUUUUUAUAUUCAUAUUUCUGGUGGAGUCUGUGAUUUGGUCUUUUACUGAUGUUAUGAAUAAAAAGGAAGUUGACCGUCAACUGGAUAUGAAUAUGAAUAUUGCCGCUAGGAUAUAUAUUAUUAUGUAUUACUGUUGGUUUUGGGAUAUAAAACUGUUAUAGCUUA
Long non-coding RNA from Patella vulgata (common limpet), 1094 nucleotides. RefSeq lists it as uncharacterized. The transcript is spliced from 3 exons. NCBI's taxonomy places the organism in Eukaryota, Metazoa, Mollusca, Gastropoda, Patellidae. The record is from RefSeq and is a predicted model, not a curated record.